This 1043-nucleotide long non-coding RNA is filed under the name Elaeis guineensis (African oil palm). Its description in RNAcentral is "long non-coding RNA (EGUI_LNC020571)". Lineage: Eukaryota; Viridiplantae; Streptophyta; Magnoliopsida; Arecales; Arecaceae. The record is from RNAcentral.
AUAUUAGUGGCCGACCAAGCAAAAAUAUCAGCAUUGGCUCUGAGCAAUUUUAUUAGUUGUUGCCACUCUGAGUCGGAUAAUUGUGAUCCAAUUCGGACCGUUUUCUCAGGAUCUUCUUUUAAUGGGAUGGAAACCAGUUGUUCAGUCGGUUCACCCCUCUCCUAAUUUUCUUUUUGGUUUAAUUUGUCAACAGACAAAGAGUCUUCAGGUUUAUUAUUUUGGGUGGAGACAAGGAAGCAAGUCCGGUGAGUUGUUGAUCUUCACGUAUCUCUCCGACUCCAUAUCAUAUCAAAAAUCAGACUAACAAAUGAUAUGUCGAAACUACUGCUCUCAGAGCAUUAAGCUCAGAUCGUCCAAGUAUGGCAUUAUAAGCCGAAGGUACUCGAACCACCAUGAACGUUAUGAAAACAGUGCUCUGCUAUGGUUCGAUCCCAGCGGUUAAGGGGAGAAAAUUUUUUUUCUCCACUGUGACAGCAUCUCCUGUGAAGCCGACCAGUAGCAUCGAGACUCUUCUAAGUCAGUCAGUUGGUAGUCACAUUCGGAAGAAAAUCGAAUAAAAGAAAACAUCAGUUGAACUUCCAUUAUCUAUAAGAAUUUUUUUUAUAUCAUAGUUCGCUAUUGUUGCCGAAACAACAACAACAUCAUCAUGGAGAGUCUAAAUUGUUCGAAUAUCUUCUUUCAAAAAAGUUAUUAUAUUGUUGAGUCAUCAUCGCUUUACCGACUCACCUUCGAAAGUUACCCCCUUGUCCAGUCGUCUGGAGAUCAUGUUGAUCACCCCUGCAGUUGGUUGAUUAUUUACAGCUUCUUCAGUUUGCAGUUGAGGUCGUCGAUCAGCAGGAGGUUAAGUCGGCAGAUCUCUCUGCUAUUUUUUGAGGUAGCCUCAUCGAAUCAGAACUUUUAUUUCAUCCCUGAGCUAGAUGCAUUGUUCGGUAUCAUGACUGUGAUCACGAUAGAACCAACAAUACUUCCUCCGAUCGUGGCUCCUCGAUAACGCUUUCAUUAGUGGGGGGUGUCAUAGAUACUCCGCUCCUUCGAUCUCCAUA